RNAcentral lists this ribosomal RNA (291 nucleotides) under Daphnia galeata. RNAcentral describes it as "partial 12S ribosomal RNA". The record is from RNAcentral. Lineage: Eukaryota; Metazoa; Arthropoda; Branchiopoda; Diplostraca; Daphniidae.
UACUUAAAUUACUUUACUAGUAAAUCCACCUUCAGCUAGCAACAAAGCUUAGAAUCCGUAUUUCUAAAAAAAAUUUCUGUAGCUCACCUCCACCCCCAUAUAAACUGCACCUUGACCUGAAGUUAUAAAGUCUUUUAACUUGAAAACAUUCUCUAAAAGUAAUCUGACAACGGCGGUAUACAAGCUUUACAAAUGAAGGAAAGAUAAAACGAGGACUAUCGAUUAAGGGACAAGCUCCUCUAUUUGGAUAAAGUGCCGCCAAAAUCUUUGGGUUUGAAGAACAACUUNUAC